UGUUCCAUUGAAUGGAGCAUCUCAUAAAUUUCAAGUAUUUUAUACUUGGAAUUGUUAAGAGUUAAAAGGUAGUUGGAUUUGUCGCAGACAAUGAGUUAAGGAAACCUUUCACGUUUUUCCCAACUUUAGAAUUAAGGAUUCUCAAGGCCCUGUGUAGAG
This is a long non-coding RNA of Cebus imitator (Panamanian white-faced capuchin), 159 nucleotides long. RefSeq lists it as uncharacterized. The record is from RefSeq and is a predicted model, not a curated record. The transcript is spliced from 3 exons. NCBI's taxonomy places the organism in Eukaryota, Metazoa, Chordata, Mammalia, Primates, Cebidae.